Molecule: ribosomal RNA, 348 nt
Filed under: uncultured bacterium
Lineage: Bacteria
Description: partial 16S ribosomal RNA
Rfam family: Bacterial small subunit ribosomal RNA
Source: RNAcentral
CCUACGGGAGGCAGCAGUCGAGAAUCAUUCACAAUGGGGGAAACCCUGAUGGUGCGACGCCGCGUGGGGGAAUGAAGGUCUUCGGAUUGUAAACCCCUGUCAUGUGGGAGCAAAUUAAAAAGAUAGUACCACAAGAGGAAGAGACGGCUAACUCUGUGCCAGCAGCCGCGGUAAUACAGAGGUCUCAAGCGUUGUUCGGAAUCACUGGGCGUAAAGCGUGCGUAGGCUGUUUCGUAAGUCGUGUGUGAAAGGCGCGGGAGAAACCCGCGGACGGCACGUGAAACUGCGAGACUAGAGUAAUGGAGAGGGAACCGGAAGUGUGGGUGGAGCGGUGAAAUGCGUAGAUAU